This 1143-nucleotide ribosomal RNA is filed under the name uncultured bacterium. RNAcentral describes it as "bacterial SSU rRNA". It matches the Rfam family "Bacterial small subunit ribosomal RNA", at positions 215 to 1351 of the family's 1533-position model. The record is from RNAcentral.
CCACUUUAAGAUGAGCCCGCGUCCUAUUAGCUAGUUGGUAAGGUAACGGCUUACCAAGGCUAUAAUGGGUAGCCGGUCUGAGAGGAUGGUCGGCCACACUGGGACUGAGAUACGGCCCAGACUCCUACGGGAGGCAGCAGUAGGGAAUAUUGCGCAAUGGGCGAAAGCCUGACGCAGCGACACCGUGUGAAGGAUGAAGAUUUUCGGAUUGUAAACUUCUGUCAAUUGGGGACGAAGGUAGUAGGGUAAACAGCCCGAAUAAUGACGGUACCCAAUAAGGAAGUCUCGGCUUACUCCGUGCCAGCAGCCGCGGUAAGACGGGGGAGGCAAGCGUUGUCCGGAAUUAUUGGGCGUAAAGAGCGCGUGGUGGUUUGUAAAGUCAUUUGUGAAAACUUUAGGCUUAACUUAAAGACUGCAAGUGAUACUGACAAACUUGAGUACAGUAGAGGAAAGUGGAAUUCCUGGUGUAGCGGUGAAAUGCGCAGAUAUCAGGAAGAACACCAGUGGCGAAGGCGGCUUUCUGGGCUGUUACUGACACUGAGGCGCGAAAGCUAGGGGAGCGAACAGGAUUAGAUACCCUGGUAGUCCUAGCUGUAAACGAUGGAUACUAGGUGUGGGAAGUUAUCGACGCUUUCCGUGCCGAAGCUAACGCAUUAAGUAUCCCGCCUGGGGAGUACGGCCGCAAGGCUAAAACUCAAAGGAAUUGACGGGGGCCCGCACAAGCGGCGGAGCAUGUGGCUUAAUUCGACGCAACGCGAAGAACCUUACCAAGGUUUGACACCAUACUGAAGGUUAUAGAAAUGUAACUGCCCGCAAGGGCAGUAUGACAGGUGGUGCAUGGUUGUCGUCAGCUCGUGUCGUGAGAUGUUGGGUUAAGUCCCGCAACGAGCGCAACCCUCUUCCCAUGUUGCCAUCAGUUCGGCUGGGCUCUCUUGGGAUACUGCCAGUGUAAAACUGGAGGAAGGUGGGGAUGACGUCAAAUCAUCAUGCCCUUUAUACCUUGGGCUGCACACGUGCUACAAUGGCCUGCACAAAGAGCUGCGAUACCGUGAGGUGGAGCGAAUCUCAAAAAACAGGUCUAAGUCCAGAUUGAAGGCUGAAACUCGCCUUCAUGAAGUCGGAGUCGCUAGUAAUCGUGGAUCA